This 251-nucleotide ribosomal RNA is filed under the name uncultured bacterium. RNAcentral describes it as "partial 16S ribosomal RNA". It matches the Rfam family "Bacterial small subunit ribosomal RNA", at positions 524 to 774 of the family's 1533-position model. The record is from RNAcentral.
UACAUAGGGGGCAAGCGUUAUCCGGAAUUAUUGGGUGUAAAGGGUGCGUAGACGGGAUAACAAGUUGGUUGUGAAAACCCUCGGCUCAACUGAGGACUUGCAACUAAAACUAUUAUUCUUGAGUGCAGGAGGGGAAAGUGGAAUUCCUAGUGUAGCGGUGAAAUGCGUAGAUAUUAGGAAGAACACCAGUGGCGAAGGCGACUUUCUGGACUGUAACUGACGUUGAGGCACGAAAGUGUGGGGAGCAAACA